AGCUUAGCCUGGAUUUUGGUUUCUGCUGUAAACUUCAGCCUUAGCCAUCAUCUAAAUAAUUCAACAAUAUUGCUGGCAACUCAGUUACAGUGAGAAGUUCUUGAUCAGGUGCAGGAGAAGAGCACAGAUGCCAAUCAGAGGCUGUGAGGACACCCACCUCUGCCCCUUGGUUUGAAAAGAAGCUGUACUGGAUCUCAAUGAAGGCCCCACAUUCAGAUUGGCAGCAGGUUCAGAUUGGAUUUCCUCUCUACAGCUGCUCCACACUCCACUUGCAUCAUGUCCAAACAUCUGGCUUUAAUCUAUUAGAGAGCACCAUAGCAAACCACCUCUGGCACCUCAUCUUCAAUCAAAAGACGAAUGACUAUUCUCCAGAGUACCAAGCUCCACAUUGUUAACAUUCUGUCCCUGCCUAUCUUCACCUCACCUUAUCUUAUUUCUUGUUUAUGUGAAGCAG
RNAcentral lists this long non-coding RNA (454 nucleotides) under Coturnix japonica (Japanese quail). RNAcentral describes it as "lncRNA (ENSCJPG00005002534.1)". Lineage: Eukaryota; Metazoa; Chordata; Aves; Galliformes; Phasianidae. The record is from RNAcentral.